AUACGUAGGGGGCGAGCGUUGUCCGGAAUGAUUGGGCGUAAAGGGCGCGUAGGCGGCCCGGUAAGUCUGGAGUGAAAGUCCUGCUUUUAAGGUGGGAAUUGCUUUGGAUACUGUCGGGCUUGAGUGCAGGAGAGGUAAGUGGAAUUCCCAGUGUAGCGGUGAAAUGCGUAGAGAUUGGGAGGAACACCAGUGGCGAAGGCGACUUACUGGACUGUAACUGACGCUGAGGCGCGAAAGUGUGGGGAGCAAACAGGAUUAGAUACCCUGGUAGUCCACACCGUAAACGAUGAAUGCUAGGUGUAGGGGGUAUCGACCCCUUCUGUGCCGCAGUUAACACAAUAAGCAUUCCGCCUGGGGAGUACGGCCGCAAGGUUGAAACUCAAAUGAAUUGACGGGG
RNAcentral lists this ribosomal RNA (397 nucleotides) under uncultured bacterium. Its description in RNAcentral is "partial 16S ribosomal RNA". It matches the Rfam family "Bacterial small subunit ribosomal RNA", at positions 523 to 918 of the family's 1533-position model. The record is from RNAcentral.